This 530-nucleotide ribosomal RNA is filed under the name uncultured bacterium. Its description in RNAcentral is "bacterial SSU rRNA". It matches the Rfam family "Bacterial small subunit ribosomal RNA", at positions 777 to 1304 of the family's 1533-position model. The record is from RNAcentral.
AAUAGAUACCCCGGUAGUCCACGCCGUAAACGAUGGGUGCUAGACGUUGGCGAGCUUGCUCGGUCAGUGUCGCAGCUAACGCGUUAAGCACCCCGCCUGGGGAGUACGGCCGCAAGGUUGAAACUCAAAGGAAUUGACGGGGGCCCGCACAAGCGGUGGAGCAUGUGGUUCAAUUCGACGCAACGCGCAGAACCUUACCAGCCCUUGACAUGUGACUCGCCGGCUCCAGAGACGGAGCCUUCGGUUCGGCCGGAGUCAACACAGGUGCUGCAUGGCUGCCGUCAGCUCGUGUCGUGAGAUGUUGGGUUAAGUCCCGCAACGAGCGCAACCCUCGUCUCCAGUUGCCAUCAGGUUAAGCUGGGCACUUUGGAGAAACUGCCGGUGACAAGCCGGAGGAAGGUGGGGAUGACGUCAAGUCCUCAUGGCCCUUACGGACUGGGCUACACACGUGCUACAAUGGCGGUGACAGUGGGAUGCGAAGGGGCGACCCGGAGCCGAUCCCCAAAACCGGUCCCAGUUCGGAUUGCACU